UAGCUUGGGAAUCUGGCUUAUGAGGGGGAGUAACUACGGGAAACUGUAGCUAAUACCGCGUAGUAUCGAGAGAUGAAAGUGCGGGACCGCAAGGCCGCAUGCCAUGAGAUGAGCCCAAGUGGGAUUAGGUAGUUGGUGGGGUAAAGGCCUACCAAGCCUGCGAUCUCUAGCUGGUCUGAGAGGAUGGCCAGCCACACUGGAACUGAGACACGGUCCAG
Molecule: ribosomal RNA, 218 nt
Filed under: uncultured bacterium
Lineage: Bacteria
Description: partial 16S ribosomal RNA
Rfam family: Bacterial small subunit ribosomal RNA
Source: RNAcentral